Molecule: long non-coding RNA, 939 nt
Organism: Sinocyclocheilus rhinocerous
Lineage: Eukaryota; Metazoa; Chordata; Actinopteri; Cypriniformes; Cyprinidae
Exons: 5
Source: RefSeq, a predicted model, not a curated record
UUCAGUUUCACUCUUUUCUCUCAUAUUGACUCAUAUUUGUGAUCUUUGUGUGUUUGUAAAGAUCUUCUGAAUAAAGUGACUCCAGAUCUCCAUCAUUCAGAUCAGCUCUGGUGGCUUUUGGCUGUUUUCAUCAUUGUUCUUCUCAUCUUCUUCUUGAUCUGUUUGAUGAAGCGUAAAAGGAUCUUCAGAUGUUUUCAGACUGAACAGUGGUUCAUCUGUCAGCGUGAGGAUGAUUCAGAAAACAGAGAUCCUGAAUCUGGUGUCCAAAUGAAGCUCCGAUCUGAUGCUCCUGAUUCACUGAAUCAGUCUGAAUCUGAACAGUUAAACGGCUCCUUGUCCAGAGGAUGAUCAGUGUGAAUCGCUCAGGUCAUUAUUUACUCAAGCUCAGAGCUGAACGUCACUGAUCUUUGACAUGAUGAUGAAGGGAGUUUCUGUUCAUGCUGAGCUUCUCAACUCUUAUUUAUUCUCCUUCAUCCGCUUCUGUAAUAGAAAUAAAUACAUGAGAUGGAAAACACUGAAAAUGAUCUUGGGAUCCAAUUCAACCAUCUUUGAAAAGUGACCAAACGACUGUUUUGUGUUUUAUUUCUUUUGUUCAUAAUUUAUCUUUUUAAUCAUUAUUUCAUUCAUUAUCAUUCAGUCGUUUACUAAUUUGUUCAAUCAAUCAUUUAUUAAUUCAUAUUAUUGUAUUAUAUCUUAGAUUAUUUAUUCUUCUUGCUCUUGCACUGCUUGCUAAGUUGUUUAACUUAUCGUUGUUUCAUUUAAUGUUUGUCUUCACGAAUGAGACGAGGGAGAAUGUGUCCAGGGUUUUAUGGGACGUCUUGUUAUGGAGUUUUGUCAUAAUAACUCUUGCUGUUGGUUGCACUGAUCAGAUGAAGUCUGACCGAAACAAUAAGGCUUCUGUUUGUAGAAGAACUUUGCUGAACGCUAAUUGGCUGUAAG